This is an RNA transcript of Chelonia mydas (Green sea turtle), 245 nucleotides long. RefSeq lists it as uncharacterized. The record is from RefSeq and is a predicted model, not a curated record. Lineage: Eukaryota; Metazoa; Chordata; Testudines; Cheloniidae. The transcript has 2 exons.
GACUCAAAGCAUUUGAUCACCACUUAACCCCACCACCAGCCCCAUCCUUUAUAUCUCGAGCAAAUGAGACUCACCUCCAGAGUAGGAAGGAGCAGCAGUCUUGGCCACAGAAAUGGAAGCUGGUGCCAUUUUCCACUUCACAGCAGGAGUUGCCAUGGGACAGGGAAAGGGGAAAAGAGUGAAACAAGUAAAACAAGAGAGGGAUGUUUUAGUUCCCAGGAGACAAGGACCCAGCUGAAGAGACA